AAAUGUGGUUCCUUUAUGAAUAUUAUUACUUUUCAUUCGAACUUUUUUAAUAUUUCUGUUUAAAAAAAUGGACUGCAUGGUCUGCAUCACCUUGUAUAAGUAAAUGAAAUAAUAUGUAAUACCUAAUUAAUAAUAAUAUUAAAUAAUGAUUCAAGUAUACAAAAUAUGGCUAAUAGUGUAAUAAAUAAAACAGCCCUGACUAGAAAAAUCUUUAGGAAAUUUUAAUUUGCCAUCGUUGAAUAGAUGUAAGCUCUUGAAAUUCGCUGGACACUUCACCUCGACGAUGGCAUUUUCGUUUUUUAUUGUUUCAUUUGGACUUGCAACUAAGAAUCCAUACAUCCUACGGAUGAAUAGAGCUCAAGAGUUUGCUGGCAAGUUAUAUUUACUUUCAAAUUUUUUUAAUGCAAGCCAUUCAUAGUCUUGGCCAUGUUUAGUGUUAUUAUUUCUAGCAAAUUUCGAGUACAAGAUUGAUUUAACUUUAUUUAAGCAAGACGUGUCAUUUCUCAUCCUACAUACAUCACCAAAUCUCGAUGCAGUUAGGCACAGAUACCUUUCUUGGAUCCAUAUCUGAUUGGUACUUUAGCUUCUGUUGAAUGGAUUAUUCUCCACCAUCAGUAUUUGGUUCUGCAUCAUUUGUAUUAUUUAUCUUAUGGUAUCGCUUCAAAUAAUGUAUCGUUUUAAUUUUUACUGUGAUGGUUUAUUCUUUUUAAAUAAGUCCUUUUUAUGUGUGCCACAGUUUAUACAAUAAAAUUAAUAAAAUUUAACUUACCUUUCGGAAUGAAUACAUUUUUCAAUUAAAUCUCGGACUAUAAAAUAUGAAAUUUUAGAUUUUAUAAAAAUUUAUAUCGUAAAUUAUUACCGUCUAUUACUCCUUUUUCGAGAACAUCUUCAAAUGCUAAGGGGUAGUUUUUUAGAUGAACAUACUUACCCAUUGUUUAUAAAAACUUUACACAAACUAAAUUAAACUAACACUAUAGUACACAAUAAAAUAACAACUAUUGACUAUAAAUUCAAAAAUUUUGUUAAAUUACACAAUCAUUAGUAGAAAAUCACGGAAAAUAAAGUUCAAAACGUA
Molecule: long non-coding RNA, 1075 nt
Organism: Onthophagus taurus
Lineage: Eukaryota; Metazoa; Arthropoda; Insecta; Coleoptera; Scarabaeidae
Source: RefSeq, a predicted model, not a curated record